ACUUUUGACCUCGGAUCAGGUAGGGAUACCCGCUGAACUUAAGCAUAUCAA
RNAcentral lists this ribosomal RNA (51 nucleotides) under Comoclathris typhicola. RNAcentral's name for it is "Pleospora typhicola partial 28S ribosomal RNA". The record is from RNAcentral. Lineage: Eukaryota; Fungi; Ascomycota; Dothideomycetes; Pleosporales; Pleosporaceae.